Molecule: ribosomal RNA, 405 nt
Filed under: uncultured bacterium
Lineage: Bacteria
Description: partial 16S ribosomal RNA
Rfam family: Bacterial small subunit ribosomal RNA
Source: RNAcentral
AUUGAACGCUAGCGGCAUGCUUUACACAUGCAAGUCGAACGAGUGGCGGACGGGUGAGUAAUAUAUCGGAACGUGCCCACUAGCGGGGGAUAACUACUCGAAAGAGUGGCUAAUACCGCAUACUUUUGGAGCGGCCCAUAUCGCAUUAGCUAGUUGUUGGGGUAAAGGCUCACCAAGGCAACGCUCCGUAGCGGGUUUGAGAGGACGACCAGCCACACUGGGACUUGGACCCGGCCCAGACUCCUACGGGAGGCAGCAGUGGGGAAUUUUGGACAAUGGGGGAAACCCUGAUCCAGCCAUCCCGCUUGUAUGAGAAGGCCUUCGGGUUGUAAAGUACUUUUGGCAGAGAAGCGGUAACAGAAGAAUAAGCACCGGCUAACUACGUGCCAGCAGCCGCGGUAAGAG